AUAUGAAGUUUCAUGUGGCGUUCACUUUGGAAUGACCUAUUCUCCCAGGUUUUUCGUGCUGUCAGAAGCAUAUUAAAUGGUUUUUGUUGCAUUCUUCAUGGCCUGCAAUAGACAUCGUCUCAGCAUUUAUAAUCAUAUGCAGGAUUUCAUCCAAAGACUGCUUGGUCGAACCCAGAGAUCCAACCUCAGAAUCAUAAACAUAAUAGAGUAACACGUAAAGAUCAAAGUUCGGUAAGUCACUG
This is a long non-coding RNA of Pistacia vera, 242 nucleotides long. RefSeq lists it as uncharacterized. NCBI's taxonomy places the organism in Eukaryota, Viridiplantae, Streptophyta, Magnoliopsida, Sapindales, Anacardiaceae. The transcript has 3 exons. The record is from RefSeq and is a predicted model, not a curated record.